GUAGGGAAUAUUGCGCAAUGGGGGAAACCCUGACGCAGCAACGCCGCGUGAGUGAGGAAGGUCUUCGGAUUGUAAAACUCUUUUAUUAGGGAAAAAUGUCUUAGCGGUUAAUACCCGCUAGGAGUGAUGGUACCUAAGGAAUAAGCACCGGCUAACUUCGUGCCAGCAGCCGCGGUAAUACGAAGGGUGCAAGCGUUGUUCGGAAUCAUUGGGCGUAAAGCGCGCGCAGGCGGAUCAGCAAGUCAGAUGUGAAAUCUCGGAGCUCAACUCCGAAACUGCGUCUGAAACUGCUAGUCUAGAAUGUCGGAGGGGGCAGGGGAAUUUCACGUGUAGGGGUAAAAUCCGUAGAGAUGUGAAGGAACACCGGAGGCGAAGGCGCCUGCCUGGACGACUAUUGACGCUGAGGCGCGAAAGCGUGGGGAGCAAACAGGAUUAGAAACCCGGGUAGUCC
RNAcentral lists this ribosomal RNA (451 nucleotides) under uncultured bacterium. RNAcentral describes it as "partial 16S ribosomal RNA". It matches the Rfam family "Bacterial small subunit ribosomal RNA", at positions 354 to 796 of the family's 1533-position model. The record is from RNAcentral.